CACCUGGAAGGACUUGAUGAACGUCCACAGGAGGGUUCGCACUCCUUCUGCCCGGCUCAGCAGCUUGAUCAGCCUCAUGACACGGAACAGGCGGAAGAAGGCGCUGGAGAUGCGGGCACUCUCAUCUGGGUCCUGCGGGGCAGCAGCCCCAGAGGGCCUCCACCCAGGCAAUACAGUCCCCCGCUGGAGGCCAGGAAAGUCUGUG
This 205-nucleotide long non-coding RNA is filed under the name Homo sapiens (human). Its description in RNAcentral is "HSALNT0019916". Lineage: Eukaryota; Metazoa; Chordata; Mammalia; Primates; Hominidae. The record is from RNAcentral.